This 253-nucleotide ribosomal RNA is filed under the name uncultured bacterium. Its description in RNAcentral is "partial 16S ribosomal RNA". It matches the Rfam family "Bacterial small subunit ribosomal RNA", at positions 524 to 776 of the family's 1533-position model. The record is from RNAcentral.
UACAGAGGUCUCAAGCGUUGUUCGGAUUCAUUGGGCGUAAAGGGUGCGUAGGCGGCGCGGUAAGUCGGGUGUGAAAUCUCGGAGCUUAACUCCGAAACUGCAUUCGAUACUGCCGUGCUUGAGGACUGGAGAGGAGACUGGAAUUUACGGUGUAGCGGUGAAAUGCGUAGAUAUCGUAAGGAAGACCAGUGGCGAAGGCGGGUCUCAGGACAGUUCCUGACGCUAAGGCACGAAGGUCAGGGGAGCAAACGGG